AGGAGCUGGUGCACUUCUCUUCUUUCAUCCCUCCUUCCGUUCCUUCUCUCCCUCUGGGCACGAGUAGCGUCUCUCCUCUUCAUGCUGCCACACCUCUACUUCUCUUCCUCUGCGACGCAUCCAUGAGGUUACAACGAGGGCAGCGACGGAGGACGAACAGAGGGGAAUCAAUAGAGCCGGCCCAUUGAAGGAGACAGGCGGGGUGGUGUGCCUUCUCAACCUUACAGCGCUGGCAAACGGCAAGAAAUCAACCCCCUGCCACACGUGUGGGUUUAUUCGUUCACGUGACGCCACCCAGGACAAGCGCUCUACCGGAAGUAGAGGUGAGUGUGUAUGGAGGGAUGAUCACAGUGGAUGCUUGGACAAUGCAACCCCGCAUACUUCUGCUCCUACCAUGGUAACUGGUGGGUGGAGGAUAGGAGUGCGUGUGUGUGUGUGCGUGUGUGUGUUUCAGGGGCCACACGGCAGAUGCCAUGGGGUGACGCUGUACAGCUCAGCAGC
Silurus meridionalis is the source of this 501-nucleotide long non-coding RNA. RefSeq lists it as uncharacterized. The record is from RefSeq and is a predicted model, not a curated record. Lineage: Eukaryota; Metazoa; Chordata; Actinopteri; Siluriformes; Siluridae. The transcript has 3 exons.